AACAAUUUGCUUUGCAAUGUUUGUUUGGGAAGAUUUCACCACAUUUAAAGUAAAGCAAGACCAAGUGAGACGUAGUAGAGAAAGUAGAAAAAAAGAAGAGUGUAAGAUUAACUGGAUUAACCUGGACUGGCUGACAACCCUCCCGUGUACCGAACUGCUUUGGAAGAGGACCCGUUUGUGUACCACGUGGUAGAAGAAGACUACGAGAACGACUUGGACACGGUGACGUGGUGUUGAGCUUAUCCUCCUACACGAUCAAUUUACUCUGAAUAAACUGUUGAACUACCCAGAGGCCGGCUUGUGCUCUUGAACAGUGACGUGGAAACCCACGCAUGGGCUUGCCACAUAAAAUAUACUUUAGAUUGUAAGCACUUAAUACCCAAUAAUUGUUAUUAAAAAUUGAACAACAUGACUUAUUAACAAUUACUUAUUCAGGGAAGGUAAGCUUUACUUCAAAAUAUUUUAUUAGGCUGCAGUUGUGACUGUUGAAAAAUUUUGUUAGCUGACUAAUACAACAAUAAAAUGUAAACGAUUUGCAUGGGUAAUAAUUACCUUCCAAAAUUCGUUUACUGUGAACUGGGGGAAGGGAUCAUGAUGAAGCCGGACAGACGUUCUGCUUGAAUGCAUGACAUGUUUUGUAAAUGUUUUCUUUGAAUAUAAAUGUGUUUUUGUUUUAAACACAUUAGACACCCACUGUUUCUUUCCUCUUACCUAUUAGUGUUUUUAUUAAGUCAGUUGGGCCUUUCUAUGUCUGAUUCUCUUGUGGGCUUCCUGCUGUAACAUAUGGAGCAGCCAUCUUGCUUGUGCUUUUGUAUUGUGUGAGUUUUAGACAUUUUAUUUGCUCUGAUUUGUUUGAGGUGGAAUUCUGCUGAUUUUUGUGACUAUUUGCUGUUUACUAUUUUACACUGACCCCCGGAUGGUACAGUUAGUCACACAUGUUCUAUUUUCUUUUUAAAAUGUUUAUAUCUUAAAUUAACGCUUCUUUCUCUUUUAUUGAGACUCAC
Molecule: long non-coding RNA, 1004 nt
Organism: Gasterosteus aculeatus aculeatus (three-spined stickleback)
Lineage: Eukaryota; Metazoa; Chordata; Actinopteri; Perciformes; Gasterosteidae
Source: Ensembl